ACCACCAAUAUCCCAAGGAUGUCCCAAAAUAGUCAUGGACGUCACCGAUAUCAAGAACGUCGCCUGGAUGUCCAGCAGACAUCAGCUUUUGGUCGUGCAAAUUUGCUCCUGCCAAGCACAUUGGACAUUCACAUAACAGCUAAGCCAUGACAAAGCCGCAUUUCGGUGACGCCUUCGAUAUAUAUGGUGAGUAUUUUUUUGUUCAUCCAACAUUAUAAAACAGCGACGUGCGAUAGAAAGAAUAGGUGCAUCAAAAACCUAUGAAAGAGGUUAAAAUUUGUCACGUAUUUCCUGUCAUAGACAGCGUAAAACGGUCAUUGCGUGUUUCAUUGGCAUCCCUUUUGUCACAGGGCAGACUUCUUUUGAAGCCCAGCAAAUCCACCAAACAGAAUAGCAGGGGGCGCUACAAGCGGCUUCGACUCCCUAUUCUAUCCAAUCCAAGACAGGUCACUCCCCAGGCUUGCCGGCGGUGUAAACUGCGAACAGCUCACUGUCUUCUGCUUUGGCGAUCAAAAGGAAAAACUGGCGACCUAUUGCGACUACGAUAAUUAUGCAAUACGCAAUUGUUGAAUUUACCGAAACACAAGAGGUCGAGGUGGUUCCUUGCUCAUGGAUCACUGGCGACAAAUGUCUUUGGCCAAAUCGGCCAUCAAGCAAGGUUCAACGUAUGGUGAAAAAAGGUUUGCCUCCUGGGCUAGACCGAAUGGAGUACAGUGCCAAAGUGAAAGGAAUAUUUGCAUCAUACCACGAUGCUCGGCUGAAGCUGCCCCUGUCUGAGUUAACUUCGGACAUUGGUUCAGAUGUUGUUCCUGCCAAGAGAAGGCGAAAGGCGAAAGUGUUUGAAAGUGAAGAAGAAGAAGAAGAAGGAAGCUUCCCACCUCUUCCCGAAAGCUUCGUGAAAAGCACUCAAGGUACCUGUCCAAUUGUUUUGCUUUAAUGCU
Ornithodoros turicata is the source of this 941-nucleotide long non-coding RNA. RefSeq lists it as uncharacterized. The record is from RefSeq and is a predicted model, not a curated record. Lineage: Eukaryota; Metazoa; Arthropoda; Arachnida; Ixodida; Argasidae. The transcript has 4 exons.